Styela clava is the source of this 1439-nucleotide long non-coding RNA. RefSeq lists it as uncharacterized. The record is from RefSeq and is a predicted model, not a curated record. Lineage: Eukaryota; Metazoa; Chordata; Ascidiacea; Stolidobranchia; Styelidae.
CAUAUUUGUUAUUCUGCUGGUUUUGAGACAAAUUUUGUGUUUAUUGGUAAGACCGAGUGUUGAUUGAUAGGACCGAACAUUCUAGAAAUUGCUUUGGGUAAUAAUCAGGGUAAUCAACGCCGACAUGGACGGGAGUCGUGUCAGUCUGUUUACCGCGUUCGUGUUGUCAAGAUGCCAAGAAGCUGCGAUUGUGUUUUGUUUAUAUGGCGAUUCCAAGGCCGUCUUAUUCAGCAUUUUCAGAAGCCAAAAAUAAUUCAGUUUAGCUGGCGAGUCCAAGAACUGAUUUUUACUUUCUGUCAUGCGUCUCGCAUGUCAUCAGGGCCUGACUGAAUGUUCCGAAGAUCUCAAAUACAUCGACUGGAAAAGGUUGAAGAAAAUUUUCUAAUAUUCUGUAUUCAAGAUAACCGGCCACGACAUCAAACCAACUAAGGCCAACUGAACGUAUAGUUUCGUUUGUCGUUUAUGUUCGUUGUACGAACACUUCUUGAUGUAGAAUCAGAGCCAUCGGGCGAAACGCAAAGGGCGCGAAGAUGGAAGAUAGGACUCUACGCUUCGCUGGAAGGAUAUUUCUCUUGUGUGAUCGAUCGUCCUGCAAGCAUCGAAGUGACCUUCAUAAUCUAAACCUUCGCCGCAGCAUUUAUAAUUCAACUGAGCUUAAAACACUGAUAAGGCUAAACACAGUCAAGUCAUACUGCGAAACCACGAGGCACAAACUGAACACAAUCGUCUAAUCAAGCCUAAACCAAUGCUUCAAACAAUCACUUGUAAUAAAAUAUUGCCACGCGUAUUAUAUCGUGCUAAGGCUCUAAACUGUGAACAUUUAUGGAACGCCUAACGAAACAUGCUAUUAUAAGCUAAGGCCCAAUAAGACUUUCUUCUUGAGAAUCCAUCUUAUGAGUAUUGUUCAAAUUUUAAUUUGAUAGUAUUUUGAAUCUACCUGUUUUAUUUCGUAGCAGAGUGCAAGUAAAGUUUCAAUUCUCGUCUAUUCUGUUUUUAAAAUUGCUGUGGGAUUGGAGUGGAUGUUUACGCGGGGCUAGAUGCUGUUUAAAAUGUGUUCAAUUCAAUAAAAUAUCAAGCUCCGUGUAUGGUUUACUGCAUAUUGAUUUAUGUUAACCUUUAAAAUAAAAAGGUUAAAUAAAACACUUAUACAAUAUCUCAACGGCCAGUUAUUUUAUUGCUAUUUUGAAUAAGAUUUAUAUUUUUGUGCCAAGUACGUUUACAUAUUAUUUUAGGGAAUUGUGGUCACUAUUAGUGUCUUUGGGAAAAUUGAAAUGAAGCUGUUCUCAAAAAUGAUUAUUUUCAUUGUCCAAAUGCACUUUUUCGACAAUAAAUGUGCGACUAGUUUUUGUUUUGUGCCCGGAAUCUUGCAUUUGUGUGCUAUUUUAACAUAAUUUCCCUUAUUUGUGUUCGUGCAAGCCUAUUUAAUAAAUGGAACAGUU